Molecule: non-coding RNA, 525 nt
Organism: Castor canadensis (American beaver)
Lineage: Eukaryota; Metazoa; Chordata; Mammalia; Rodentia; Castoridae
Source: the annotation of a RefSeq genome assembly
AUGCAGUUGAGGCUGAGCUGGCUUUUCCUUGUUGCUAUUUUUAAAGGUGUCCAGUGUGAGGUACAGCUGGUGGAGUCUGCGGGAGGCUUGGUGCAGCCUGGAGGGGCUCUGAAACUCUCCUGUGCAGCCUCUGGAUUCACAGUCAGUAGCUACUGGAUGAACUGGGUCCACCAAGUUCCAGGAAAGGGGCUGGAGUGGGUUUCAACAAUUAGUGGUGGUAGCACAUACUACCCAGACUCUGUGAAAGGCCGAUUCACGAUCUCCAGAGACAAUAACAAGAACCAGCUGUAUCUGCAAAUUAACAGCCUGAGAGCUGAGGACACAGCUGUGUAUUAUUGUGCAAGAGACGCAGUGAGGAGACUUCAGCGUGUCCUUUCCCAGGUGCAGCUGCAGGAGUCAGGACCUGGCCUGGUUACGCCCUCACAGACCCUGUCUCUCACCUGUGCUGUGUCCGGAUUCUCCAGCACUGCCAGGCCAGUCCUUACUGCUGAGACUGUAUCUGUCACCUCCCAGGGAAGGGCCUAG